Callithrix jacchus (white-tufted-ear marmoset) is the source of this 3609-nucleotide long non-coding RNA. RefSeq lists it as uncharacterized. The record is from RefSeq and is a predicted model, not a curated record. NCBI's taxonomy places the organism in Eukaryota, Metazoa, Chordata, Mammalia, Primates, Cebidae.
GGCGACCGCCGGGGGCGCUGUGGUGCACCGUCGCGGCCGGGGGAGGCACUCUGGGCUUGCGGCGUCGCUGCUGCUUCCGCCUUCCCGGCAGCCCCUGCUCGGCGACCUUUCUCAGUCCGGUGCGGGUUCGUGGUGCUCCCUGAGCUGUGUUUCCUGCGCCAAGAUGUUUCAAAAUUUUGUUAAAAAUAUGUGGCUCCCCUUGAAACCCUACUAUACCCAAGUUUACCAGGAGAUUUGGGUCGGAAUGGGGCUGAUGGGCUUCAUCGUUUAUAAACUCCAUGCCGCCGAUAAAAGAAAUAAGGCUGCGAAAGCUGCAGCGCCUGCUCGUGAGCAUCAUUAACCAGCUUACUUGGAGUACCUGUGAAGGAAAACGUCAGUCUGCCUGUAAAUUUGAGCAAGCCGUGUUAGAUGGGGCGCGAGGAACAUCACUGUACACUUGUAUGAGUACCGUUUACUUCCUGGCACGAAUAAAUGGACCUGUGAGAUGCUCUGCUACCUGGUACUGCUUUCACUGUCUUCCCCGCUCAGCCCCCUCCGGUGCGUCAGGCCUACUCUUUGCAGAUCAUCUGUCAUGCAGCAGAUGCAGUGAGAGUCUCGCUGAGCCACCCAUCAUUAUAAACAAUUAUCUCAGUUGUCACGGGGGCUAGUGAUCAGGAUCCAGGCACUCACUGCCCAAUAAAUGUGUAUGAAACUCAAUCCUGCUACUUGUGACCACUCUGAGUCUCUGCUUCCUUAUUUGGAAAAUGGAGAUGUUAAUUAUGUAAGCUCUGAGUUACAGUUAGGAGGAUAAAUAAGAGAAAGAUUUAAACUAGGAAAUAUUUUAGAAAUAAGGUAGCAUUUGAUGACGUAGUUGAGAUUAUAAGCUCUAGGAGAAAAAUGCCUCAGGAAAUAAUCACAAGGCAAAGGACAUAAUAAGGCCAGGUGAAGAAAGAAAGCCAAUUGAUUCUAGGUAGGCCAAAAUCAAAUGCAUGCCGCGAAUAUUUAUCUCCAUCUAAGACAGUUACCAAGAUCCCGAAAAUUGUGUGCUAAAAAGAUUCUAAAGCAGCAAGCAUGGGGUAAAGGUGAGUUUGGUUUUAAAUCUGGCACUCGCAGGUGGGCAGGGGAGCAGCUGUGGAAUGGGCAUGAUGGCUGCACCCUGGGUGUCCUGUCCUCUUGAGACCAUCCUGUUUCUCAUCUGUAUGGCAUUUGGCUUCUUUAGGUCUGGCUCAUGGUAGGUGCCCAGCAGAUGACUGGGAUCUCUCUCAGCCUCAGUUGCUUUUGUAAGACAACCAAAACCUGCCGUGUCUUUCUCCAGCAGCCUCAGCAUUGUUGGACUGUGAGAAGUGUGCAGGAAAGCAUGACACAGCCUCAGUGGAAGUCAGCAUCGGUUCGUGUGACAUUCAGAGGGUUUGGAUUCACAUUCUUCCUGCUAACGCAUUUGGUUGUCUUCUGCCUCCAGAAAAUGAAUCUGCUAUGAUACAGAAAGGCCCUACCUUUAAAAUUAUCCGUCUGCCCAGCUGUUCAGGCUGGAGGCUGCAUUAGAAUCACCUGGAAGGCCAUGCCGCAGCUGGCUGGGCCCCGUGCUUCUGAUUGCACUGCUCUAGGAAGGAGCCUGAGAACUUGUAUGUCUAACAGCCGUCAGGACGUGUGGAUGCCAGGAGCCCCGCUGGAAAAUUUCUAAUGACACAAAGAACCCAGGCCUGCCCUCCCACAGCCCUGGUACCCACUGCAACGGCCCCAGGCUCAGCCCUGUGUCAAGUCUCAGCACGUGUAGUCCACCUUAGUGAGGCAUCAGUAUCGGCCUUGACUUUCAGAACAGGAAACGGGCUGAGGGGCAGAAACACGCCGAAGAUGUUGCAAUUAGCAAGCACUGGGGCUGGGGCUGCACCCCAGGAGCCUGCAGUCUCGCCCAGAGGGAGGUGAGGACAGGCAGGAACAGACGUUGAUGUGUGACCCGGGAGGGCUGCCCCACAAAGCCUGGGCCGUUCCUCUUCUCCCUUUACCACUUAAGGGUUCCUUCGACAAAUUACCAGGGUAGGCUGGGCACAGUGGCUCACGCCUGCACUUUGGGAGGCUGAGGCAGGCAGAUCACUUGAACCCAGGAGUUUGAGAUCAGCCUGGGCAACAUGGUGAAACCCCAUCUCUACAAAAAAGCACAAAUAUUAGCCACACAGGGUGGUAUGUGCCUGUAAUCCAGCUCCUGGGGAAGCUGGUGCAGGAGGAUUGCUUGAGCUCAGGAGGUCAGGACUGCAUUCCAGCAUGAGCAACAAAGCAUGACCCUGUCUCAAAAAGGAAAAAAGCUCUGUUUGCCAUCCCAGAACCCGCCUACACUGAAUCCCUCGGGCUUUGAAAACAACCAGGUCUUAUCCCAAAGGCAGCCUGUAGGUGGAGCCAGACGAUGUCACCUGGGCUUCCCUGUGAGCAUGGAACUCGGGGCCCCAGGGAGCUGUUUAAAGGAGCAUUUGGGGGGCGGUGCCAGUGGGUAAGAGGUAUGCGCAGUGAGCCCCGGGAGUGCACAGGGGACAGCCAAUCCAGGAAGGAAUCCCAGAGGCUUUUUGUCCCAAAGCCUACACAUUCUCCUCCUCUGACUUAAUGCAGUGCUUUACAAAGUGUGCUACAAAGUAGCCCCAGAGGCUGGGAGGAGAGAGUGGCUCCCGGGCAGCUGAAGGUGUCAUUGUGAACCCUGUGCUCUCAAGUGAGCCUCUCGGGGAGGCAUGGUGUUUCUUCCUGCUCGUCACCAUGUAUCCCAGGAGUGCACACACCCCAGCCAGAGCCUUUGGAGGCUGUGCUUCCUGCCAUCCUUAAGGGGGUCCUGUAUCUGUAGAGGAACCAGAUAGAGUUCCGGGGUACCAGGCCAUGGUCUGCUUCAUAUUUAUCUACACAAUAUUCCGUGAGCUCAUACUGUCACCCGACUUCGCAGCUGAAGAAAUGGAGGCCCAGACAGGAAAUGCAGGUGCAGGCCGAGCGCGGUGGCUCACACCAGUAAUCCCAGCACUUUGGGAGGCCGAGGUGGGUGGAUCACCUGUCAGGGGUUCAAGACCAGCCUGGCCAACAUGGUGAAACCCCGUCUCUACUAAAAAUACAAAAGCUAACUGGGCGUGGUGGCACACACCUGUAAUCUCAGCUACUCGGGAGGCCGAAGCAUGAGGAUCGCUUGAACCCAGGAGGCAGAGGGUUGCUGUGAGCUGAGAUCGCACUAUUGCACUCUAGUCUGGGCAACAGAGAGAGACUCCAUCUCAAAGAAAGAAAACACAAGUCGAAUAAUUAAAAAACCAAAUUUGAGCAUUUGGUAUUUGGGUGUCUUUGAAGCCAUCAAAAGAAGAGCCGAAGGUUUAGGCAGCUCAGAGUUCCAGCAGUGAACCUCAGCCUUGGCAUUCUUGUCACCAAAGGACCAGCUGAAGCCAGUUAACCAAUGCUGAAGUUACCGAGCUGACGCAGAGCCAGAAUUGCCCAGGUGUGCGCAAUGGGAAACGCUUCCACCUCAUCCUUACCAGCUACGCUGGCAUCACCUGGGACCUGCUAGGAGUGCCAUAAAAGCCAGACCCACCCCCAGCUCAGGGACGCAGAAUUAAGCGUUGCCUCCUGUCUCCUUGCAGUCCAUUAGAAAUAAAGCUUUUUCUUUUGUCAAAA